Non-coding RNA from Acanthosepion pharaonis, 110 nucleotides. Lineage: Eukaryota; Metazoa; Mollusca; Cephalopoda; Sepiida; Sepiidae. The record is from the annotation of a GenBank genome assembly.
GGUCAUAUCACGUCGAAACGCCUGUUCUUGUACGAUCACCGAAUUUAAGUAAUGUUGAGUUUGGUCAGUACUUAGAUGGGUGACCACUUGGGAAUACCAGGUGCUGUAAG